UCUAGUGUAUGUAGUAGACUGCUUUGGUAUCCAUUUAGGUGCUCUUUGCGCUUCAUUUGCACACACCAAGUCUCGGGUUCAACAUACACCCCUAUAAGUCCAUCUACGUGAUUGUACUCGUAUCAUCCUCCUCUUCUUGAAAAGUAUUCGACCUCGAAUUCGUACCUUGCAAAAAAUAAGAGAAGAUAAGCAAGCACACAUUCUCAUGACAUGAGGGUUAGGGUUAACAAAAAUAAACACAUCAACAUGCCAUGUCGAGGGGGAAUAAAUUUGAAGUAUAUCCACUGGUCCUUUGUAUUAAACAUAAAAAGCUUAGCACAAAUGUUACAAAGGAAGUAGCUCAAAUAAGCAUUAAGACAAAAGGAAAAUAGGCUGAGACUACUCCUACCAUACUAUAAGAUGGCAUCAUGGUCAAAUGGGAGAAUUAGCCAAGGACAUGGAUUUCAGUCAUACUCCAUUUUAAAAGGGUAACUCGCGCUUAGCUUCACACCAUCACGGGAAGCCAACGAGUUAUGACCAAAACCAUUUUCACAAGUACAAUCCCAAUUUAGGUUUUCUAUACUUUCAAACAAAUCAAGGUCAUCGUUACCCAAUUGAUCAUUUUGCACACCCUCACUAGUUGUUGGCAAAUCAUAUACCAACAUAGACUCACCUUGUUUUUUACAAGGGUCCACUAAUGUGUAAGUACUCUUGUCAAUUGGUAAUGGAAACUUGUUCAAUUUAUAAGGGCUAGCACUAGAUGGACAUAAAUCAUUCUUACAAAAAGAAUUAAUUUUGUCAUCUAAAGGAUCAACUAGUGCUUCCGUACUUAUAACGAAAGCUUGGUCCUCACAUGACCUAACAUCACCAAGAGUAUCACAAUGGGGAGACUCAAACACCUCUACUUUAGGUAAAUUUGCAACUACAUCCAAUUGGCCACUUCUAUCCACAUCACAAUAUUCUAGGCUUAUAGGAGUGUAGGGGAUAGCAUUUUUACCUUGUAGAUCACAUGAGCUGCGGUCGUCACCUUCGUUCGGUUCUUGGAAGCCCACUUCUUCCUUCAUAAAGCUCUCAUUGCAAGUUGUUUGGACCUUAGAUUUUGAAUUUGUUGGGAUAAGUGUGGAUACCAAUUGGCGUAGCCUUUCAACGUUCCAUUUUAUCUCGUCAAGAUUGUCGUUGAUGCGAUUAAAUGUGGCAUCGAGAUUAUUGUCAGCCAUGGUACCUAAAAGAAAAGACACAACAAAUAAGAGAAAACAAACUAGUUAGUUCAAAAAAAAGUCUCACCACACUCUUACUCUCAAUUUUAUCUCACACUUGGUUUCACAAGUGUUGAAACUCGGCUUGUACUUUGCGAGUGAUUCAGGGUCGAGUCUACUCUUGCCCAAAAUAGAUUUUCAUUUGUGUUGACUCAAAGAAAAUUUAUUUACGGACUUGAACCAACAAGAUACAAUGAAUUCAUAAAAGAGAAAAGCACACAACAAAUGCUUAAUACGAAUGAACAAAUACAAAGACUAACUAACAAUCUAGUAGAUGAGUACUAGUUUGCCAAUUAGUAUUGGAACCAACAAAAUUGAAACUAAGGAACAACAAACGGAAACUACAAAAUUUAAAAUUUGAGCCAAAAUUUGAUGCGUGAACAGUAACUUAAUAAUGCGGCAGCCACGUAUUGGUUGCGGUCUUUCUAACGAAUUGUUAUUCUCAAAUAUUCAUGUCUUGGUAAAAAUUUAAUUUGGAUUGGUGGAAUUUGUUUUAGGAGGGAAAAAUAAGUCUUGGAGACUUUUUCAAUUUUCAAGACUUGACUUUUUCUUGUAUUUCUCCUUAAAAUAUGAAUCCUUAAAUUAUGGAAAAGUGUUGGAAAGUGGUUGAGACUUGAUUGAUAGUUCUUUGUUGGUUGUAGUGUCUUUCAAGAUUAACAAAUAAUAGACCCCUUUUCCUUCAACUUUUUGGAUUUAGCAUUCACUUUAUCUUCAACAAUAUAUGAAGGUGGUGAUGAACAUCAAGAACAACAACAACAACACCAAGAACUAUAACAAUAAUCUCCAAGAACACUAACAAAUUUCACACAGCCAACUCCACAACAAAAAAAUGCCUCACAUGGCCAAGACUACAACACUUCAACAAAAUGUUCUUAGCCCUCCAAUUUAUAACAACAUUUACUUCCAAGCUUAAGAAAAACAACUUCAACGUCCACAACAAUCAAUAAUGUUACCAAUAGACUGCCAAAGGUGAAGCCACAACAAUAAUGCCAACACAAUCGGCCAAGUUAGGUUCACAAUAGCAAGAUCAAUAUUUCAAGCUCAAAUAUAGAUUUAGACUUUAGAGUGUUAAAAAUGAAGAAAAAUAACACUAGAAACAAUAAAACAAGUAAAAAUCUCGUCCAAGGCACAACAAGAACACAAUUCUAGGCCAAGAACACAACACGGGCAGAUUGCACUUUUUCUGGAAUUUUUAAUUUUUUUUCAACAAUUUUUUUUUUUUGAUUUUUCAACUAACAAGUGCAAGAUUGAUCUUAUGGGAACAAGAUCAAUCCAUGCUAUAAUACCAAAUGAUACAAGAAGGACUAGGAAGCACGAAGCAAACACUAAAAUCAGUCCACAAGUUCAAAGAACCGAGGACCCUUUUGAUGACCACACUCGGAUUCACUACAACGAUAACAAGAAUGAGAUAUAAGGGUGUGUUUCAACCCCCAAACAACCACUGCAAACUAAUAUUAUCAAUAAAAUAUGAAUAUCACGAAGAACAAUAACAAUAUUAUAACAACAACUCAUGGGUUCAACAAACAAGCCACACAACAUUUAUAAGAUUACAAUGAACAAAAUAAUAGAUAGAUAGACUACAUAAAGGAAUAAUUUUAAGAACCCAAGAACAUAUUCCACUCUUGGACCAUUAACACUACUCACAAUAAUUCAUAUAUCUCUUACGUUGGCAUAAGAGGGACCUCGAUCUCCCAAGCCUCUAAUAUUUCCAAGUUUGAAUCCAACAUGGGUGAAUCCAUACUCAAUGUUGCCUAGUUACAAUUUCGGCAUAGGAGGGUCUUUCUCUUAAGAGAAAUGUUUUAAGUGUUAAACUUUCAUAUUCAUCAAAAUCUAAUGAAUGAAACCCUACAUUAUUCUACUUAUAGUGUGUUACAAAUAAUAGGUAAAAUGACCAAAAGGCUUCUUAGUGAAGGGGCGCCUCUUUAGUGCAUGUAGUGAACUAUUUUGGUCAUUCUAGUGUAUGUAUUGGACUAUUUUGGUGUCCAUUUAGGUGCUCUUUGCACUUAAUUUGCACACACCAAGUCUCGGGUCCAACAUACGCCCUCAUAAGUCCAUCUACGUGAUCGUACUGAUAUUAUUGAUGAAGAUGUCACUCAUCAGAUUAGGGUAGGGUGGAUAAGAUGGAGGCUCACCUCCAAAAUCUUAUGCAAUAAGAAGGUACCUCCUAAACUUAAGGGCAAGUUCUACAGAGUGGUGGUUAGACCGAUUUUAUUAUAUGGAUGGAGUGUUGGCAUGUUAAAAAGGCCCACACUCAGAAGAUGAAGGUGACGGUGAUGAGAAUGCUUUGGUGGAUGUGUGGGUAACAUAGAAUUAGAAAUCAGGUUAUUCAAAAUAAGAUAGGAGUGGCUUUGGUGGAAGCCAAGAUGAUGGAAGUGAGGUUGAGAUGGUUCGAUCAUGUGAUGAGGUAUGUGGAGGUGUGAGAGGUUGGCUAGAGAUGGUUUCAAGCGAAGUAGAGGCAGACUGAAGAAAUAUUGAAAGGAGGUGAUCAGACAUGACAUAGAGUAGCUUCAGUUUACCGAGGACAUGACCCUAGAUAGGAAGUUGUGGAGGAGGCAGAUUAGGGUGGAAGGUUAGUAUGAGCUGAGGUUGCUAUUUUUUUGCUGUAUUACUUGGUUUCUCUUGCUUAUGGUAUUAUCGGAUAUUGUUGAUUUCUACUGUAUCUUGUUCUCUUACUAUUCAUUGUCCAGAUUAUUUUAUUGUGAGCCAGAGGUCUAUCAAAAAUAACCUCUCUAUCUCACAUUUGAGGUAGUGGUAUGGACUGUGUACACUUAUCCUCCCUAGACCUCACUUUGUGGGAAUAUACUAGGUAUGUUGUUGUAAUAAUAAUUAUAUUUAUUGAACAAUGGUACACUUUAAUCAAAUUAUUCUUCAAGGAUUAAAUGAGCAAUUAAAAAGGAAUACAAAAACAAUCCAAAUGAAUCAAAUAAAAAAGAAUGAAGGGAGUAUAAUUUUGAAUGUAAAUUGAAAGAUAAGCCCUCUAACAAUAUCAAAUUGAAAAUAAAUUUAACCUACACAUUAUUCAAAAAUCUAAUUCAAAAUAAAAGUAAAACGUAAGAAAAGAAGUGUGACAUACACUGCAAACUCAUGAGUCAUGAAGAUAAUCUUCUUCUUCUCAUCUCUCUAACAACAUUUGGUUUGAUUAGAUUUUAAAUCAAAUCAAAUAAAAAAAAUUAACAUUUGGUUUGAGUUCAUUUUAAAUCAAAUCAAAUAAAAAAAUAACAUUUGGUUUGAUUUGAUUUUAAAUUUGAAAAAUUAAUAAUAUUUGGUUUGAUUUUUAUUUUACUAAAAAUAACCAUAAUUCAGGCAGGAAUGAAUUCUUCUGCAAAUCUUCUCCUCUUUUAUUUAAGUUAAGAAAGAAAUCAAUCGCGUUUGAGUUUUCGGUCAUUGAACGAAUAAAUUAUAUAUAAUAUGAUAUUAUUUUUGCAUAACUAAAUACAAAUAUUUUAUACCUUACUAUAUUUUAAAAUCAUUUCUUGAAAAAUACGAAAAAAUACAACACUUCAAGUCUAAUUAUUUAUAUGUGGUGUAGUGUAUAGUUUGUUUUUAAUUUACUUCAAUAGAUUGCUCCUUUGAUUUUCGAAAGAUUAACUAUUCCAUUAAUAACUUUAUGUUAAUUUUGUGGAUGUUAGACAUCUGAAAUGGAGUAAUCUCUAUAAUUAUGCAACGAAAAAAUACAUCAUUUCACCUCUGAACUUGUCAGCAUUACUUACUUUAGACCCUUAAUUUUACGGACAAUUAUAUACCCCUGUAACAACUUUAAAUUAAAUUAAAUUCCACCCUAAGAUUGUAAUACCAGUCUCACUAUGGUAGGUGCAUGUAUCACACACGCCGCCACAUCAUUGCUACAUAAAAAUUAUUUAAAUUUUAAUUUUUUUCCUUCCCCCUCUCUUCCAUAAAGGUAUCCUCCAUCUCUAUUAAUGUCUUGUACAUUAAUUAACUUCAUUUUUUGCUAAUUAAAGAAAUAAAUUUGACCUUGGAAAGUUCUAAUCUUCAUAAAAUACAACCCCUUUUUAUUUUCAUUGAUAAUUUUGAUUUCUUUAGUUUAUUUAGAUAAAAGAAACAAUUAAAAGAAUCAAAAAUGAAAAUUAAGGUGCAUUAGAGGUUGGGAUUGACGGAGGAAGGGGAUUGAAGUUUUGUAGAAGAAAAACAAAUAGAGGGAUUUGAAGAAGACAAAAGAGAUCACUAUAAAAAAACAACAUUUAGUGACGGAAUUUACCGACAGAUCAUAUUCCAUCACUGGAUAGCGAUGAAUCAACAAUGAAAAAAAUCAAUUUUAUCGUGAGCAUAAGAAGAUCCUUUUUAAUUUAUGAUGUAGCAACAAAUUAGCAACGGAUUUUUUUCAUCACCAAAUAUUGGCACGAAAAUUUAACGCCUUAAUUUCGUGAUGAAUUUUGCAACACAUAAUAUGUAACCAUUUUAAUUAAUUUAUAGCAACAAAUUUAACAACGAAUUGUUGCAUUAGUAAACUUUAGAAUAUUUCUAUAAAUUUUAUUUAUUAUUAGCGACGAAAUAAUCCGUUGCAAGCAUUUAUAAUUUUUAAUAAAUUAUAUUUUUAUAAUCUCAAAAUAUUUAGGGCAUGCACUUCAUUUCAGCUUCCCUAUACUUCUUCUCUCUCUCCCUCUACUUUCUCUCUCUAAAAUGCAUCAAUUCGUUUGUUCGAAGAGCUGAGAAAUUCGUAUGUGCUUGAAUCAGGUUGGAAAUUAUGUUCUCUCUCUUUUUCCCAUCUCUAAAAUGUCUCAAUUUAGGACUAUUCGAAGAAGCUGAGAAAUUAGUAUGUUAUUUUUAUUUUUAUUACUCAAUUCUUUUGAGAAUUAAUUUUUUUAAUAUUUUUACGUAUUCUACUUUAACCUGUUGUAAAUCUGUGAUUUUUGUUGAUUUUAUUUGCUCUCUGAACUAAGUCUACUACUUUAUCCCAUUAUAAAUCUGUAAUUUUUUUGAUUUUAUUGGCUCUGUAGACUGAGUCUAGGGUUCAUGCAAGCAUUUGCGGGUAGGAUUUAUGCAAAUAUUCAGGGGCUAGGGUUCAAGCAAACAUUUGACAUUAUCAAUUUUUCUUAUAGAAAGGGUUUUAAAUUCUAAGAGGUAAAACGAAAAUUAGGUUAAAAAUGGCUCAUUCUUGCAAAGCCACAACUUCCUCAAUUUCUAAACUCAAAUGGGUUUGUGUAAUUUUAUUUUUACUAAGAUAUUUUAUGCCUAAUUUUUCAGAAAAUAAGACAUUAUAAUUCUGAUUGUAUUAAAAUUGACUAUUUGUAUUUUUUUUUACUAAGUAUCAAUUUUGAAUGUAUUCUAACACAAUUAACAAUUUUAUAGUUUAAACUCUCUUAUGUGUAUUGUAUUCCUUCUAUAAUUAUUUAGUUCAUAAUAGUUCCUAUUGAUAGACACGUACAGAGGAUCUCAAUUGGAUUGAUUAGGAUUCUACUACCAUAAUUUUUUGUUCUACCCAAUCUGUUAUAUCAUUUAAAUUUGUAUAUUUUCAUAGAAGUUUUAAUUGUUAUUAUUUUUUGGUUAAUAUCCCAGAAAGUGAAGUAUUGGGAAAGUGAAGAGUAGGUGAAAAAACACUGUAAGGCUGUGUCUGGAAUUGACUGAAAUUUAGCAAAACUAUCACGUUUAAGAAUUUGGCCUAUCAGGUAAAAUAUUCUUUAGUAAAUAUGAACUUUUUAUAUGUGUUGGUAGGAGAAAUUAGGUAUUUUGAUAUUUAUCCCUUUGGUUGUGAAUAGAUUAGAUGAAGAUAUGACAUUUGGUAAUGGUUGACAAAUUCAAAAAAUGCAUCGAUUGGGUCUUAAUUUCCAAUGCAUGAAUAAUCUUGUGUGUUUUAAGCUCUGUUGUGGCUAUAUGUUUGAUAAAGGAUAUAUCUACCAAUGAUUAUCGCUCCAUAUAAUUUACCUCCAGAAAUGUGCAUGAAAGAGGCUUAUAUAUUCUUAACAAUCAUUGUUCCAGAUUUGAGCAAUCCCAAACAUAAAAUUGAUGUUUAUCUGCAAACUUGAAUAAAUGAAUUGACCUUGUUGUAGGAGAAAUGUGUGGAAGAAUUUGACAUUUCAAAAAAGAAAAAAUUUCAAUUACGGCCAGCUUUGAUGCAGAUAAUUAAUGACUUUCCAACAUAUUCUAUGUUAUCGGGAUGGAGUACUGCGAGUAAGUUAGCAUGUCCUUAUUGUAUGGAGGAAACACAAUCCUUUAUAUUACAACAUGGAAGAAAAUAAUCUAGAUUUGAUUGCCAUAGAAUGUUCCUUAACUAACAUCACCCAUUUAGGAGAGAUCAAAAGAACUUUCUUAAAGGUCAGACCGUCAAAACACCCCGUCACUAUAUAGAAUAGAGGAGGAAAUUUUGAACCAAAUUUGUAAUUUGGGGAUAAUAAAUGUAACAACAUUAGAUAUAGAAGAAUUUAAUCAAAGAAUAUGUAAUGCAUAUUGAUGGUAUAAGCAAAACAUCUUUUGGGAUUCGUCAUACUAGAGUUCUAACAUGAUUACAUAAUCUUGAUGUCAUGAAUAUGGAGAAAAUUUUCUUUUAUAAUGUAUUUAACACUGUUCUUAGUUUUGAUGAUAAAACCAAAGACAAUCCACAGUCAUUCUAGAUAUGACAAAGUAUUAUGAUUGACCUCAGUUGGGAAAGAAUAGUAAUAAAUAAUAUCCAAAAACUGUCUAUACAAUAGACAAGGAUUCAAGAGCUAUCUUGUUUAAUUGGGUAAAAGGCUUAAAGUUUCGUUAUGGGUAUGUUUCAAAUUUGGGUAGGAUAAUAAACACAUAUGCGAAAAGGUAAUUUGGUAUGAAAUCACAAUUUCAUGUGUUCAUGCAAGGAAUAAUGUCUAUUGCGUUUCGCGAACUACUUUCUAGUAAUGUGUGGAAGGCACUUACAUAAUUGAUCUUAUUUUUUAAGGAUCUUACUUAGAGCACUCUACGAGUGGGUGAUAUAGUGCGAUUAGAGGGAGAUAUUCCACAAAUUUUAUGCAAUUUAGAACGUAUAUCUCCUCCUGGGUUGUUUUACUCAAUGGAACAUCUUUGUGUGCACCUUUCAUAUGAAGUAAGGAUUGCUGGACUUGUGCAAUAUUAAUGGAUGUAUCCUUUUGAAAGAUAAAUGUGAAAAUCUAUGUCGAAAUUGUGAUGAAUAUUAAUACAUAACCUUCAAAUGUAUUGUUCCAUCUUAUUAUGUAUAUAGGUAUCUGGAACUCUUAAAAGGAUGAUUAGGAAUAAAGCUAGUGUUGAGGGCUCCAUUUGUAAAACAUACUUGAUGAUGGAGUCAACAUAAUUGUUUUCUAAUUUUUUUUAACCUUAUGUUAUGUCACGUAAUCAUAAUGUGGAUUGUAAUAACAAUGGUGGUGUUGUAGAAGAUCUUAAAGGAAAUCUUUCAAUAUCCUCCCAUCCAGAUCGACUAUGGAAAGAAGCAAAAAAAAAAAAGAGAUGGAACUCUAGAUGAAAUCAAGGCUACCCAAACUUAUAUUUUAAUAAAUUGUGAGGAGGUUGAGCCAUUUGUGAGGUAACCAAAUUCUCAUAAUAAAAAUAAAAUUUACUCUAAUAUUGUGACUUCUUAUUUAAAUUAUUUUGUUGCAAUGAAGUAUGUACCUGUAAUGUUUGCAAGAAGAAUUUCUGAAUCUCUCUCAAUGUGAAAUAGACAAGAGCCUUGAAGAAAAUUUUGCUAUAUGUUUCAAGGAAUAUGUAAGAUUUAAAUAAAUACUAUCUUUUAUAUAAUGAGGUACUUAAAUUGGCUUCUAAAAUUUAACUAAAUCUUUGAUUUUUUUUAAAUAGGCUCGGUGUAAUUCCAUUGAGAAUGAAAUACUUGUGUAAUCUUGCUCGUGGACCAUUAAUAGGAGCUACAUGAUAUUCAAUUUUUUUUUUUUAACAAAUAUAAAAUUUACACGGAAUGUAUGGUAGCUUGAGAUUGUAAGACCCCGUAGGAUCCUAGCUCAUUUCAGCUCACUCUUGCAUGCUAAAGGGGUCCAAGACUUCGAAAAUUUCACUAAGUAUUAAGACUUAGUCAUUUACAAAGCCCCUUAAACUUUGAUGAUUUUAAUUCUGACCUUCUCGGCCUUAGAACAUCAAUUUUUAAGUUGAUUCAUGAUCGGGAUGGUCGAUAGCAUGUCUCGAGAAAUUUUUGGAUUUUUCGAACGAGGUUCAAGGAUUGUUUGGAUGUUCAAACUAGAAAGUCUGCAUGAUAUGGACGUAGCGCACUGCUUAUUGCAUUGAUGAGGUGCGACACGAUGCAUUGCCUAGCGCAUCGACUGAGCGACGUGAUGCAUUACUUAUCGCAUCACUGGCCACGUUUAGUUUAAUUAAUUUCGGGUAUGUGGGGGUAUUUGAGUCAUUUUCCCAUUACUUUGCCUCACCCAUAACACGAGAUUAAGGACCCAAAAGGGCAAAAUCACUCAUCUUUUCACAAACCCUCUCAAGAACAAAAUCGUAGCUUCUUCAAAUCCAAGUUCAAGCUUCAUGAAAUCACCAAAUACUCACGAAAAUUCAUCUGUUAAGGUAUGUUAGAUGUUCAUUCGUGGGCCUUUUUACCCAUGGAGUCCAAGAAUCUACUUUAAAGUUUUAAAUCAUGACCUUUACAUGUUUUCAUGAAUUUUAUCCAUGAACUUCCAUGAAUUUCGAUUCUUAUAUCAUGUUUACAUGUGUCUUUGUUGGAAUUAUACUUUGACCCAUUUGAAGGAAUGAUAUUUGCAUGUUAAAUCCUUAACUCAUGAUUUUUGUACUGAAAUUAUGUUAUUAUGCCAUGAUUUAACUAUUCCCAUGCUUUAACUUUAUGACCCCCAUGUGUUUGAUGAAAUGCCUAAGAGAUAAAUUUUGAACAAUGACUACUUAUCAUGUUUUUGAAGCUUUAGUAUGUUUCUACUAGUAAUGUUAUCGAGUCUUGGGGGUUAUGAAUACCCAAAAACUUAGCUGUUUACUAAGUCUCAGUAUUUUCAAAAUGGUUUUGUAUAUAUUAGAGUAUUAUCAGUUCAGUCAGUUAUCAUAUCAGUAAGCUCAGUUCAGUCCAAUAUCAGAGUUAGUCCAGUUGAGAGUAGAAUUAGCACCGACAAAACCCAGGGAUGGGGGAUCACCUACCAGUUAAGGGUGUGACCUUUAGUAGAAGUCCUUGUGUUCCAGAAUUAUAUAGCCAACGUAGGUUGAGAUAUUAACCUGCCAGUUAAGGGUUGACUUAUAUCUUACUAGAGCACCUGCCAGUAGAGGGUGACUCUUUAGUCCUUCGGGACUUUACUUUAGUGGAUCCACACAACCAUUGUUAGUAACUGAGGCACGGUACUGACACCCUUCCAACUGGGGUCACAGGUUGGACCCCAAUUAGCUCAUUUUAGGGAAUGUCAGUUAGAUGAUAGCUCCCACAGUUUUAGUCCAAUCUCAGUUCAAAAGUCAGUUCAAGUUUGCUCUAUUAUAGCAUACAGUUUAUCAGUUAAAUCAGUACUUAGAUUUUAGUAUUUCAAUUUACAGACUAUUCUAGUAUCAUAUUAUAUGCUUGGUCAUGAAUUCUCAGAUUUUACAACCUUCACGCAUACUAUGCAUCAAUUAUCUCAUGCGAUUCCUUCAGUCAGUUAUUAUUCAUGUACAUGAGCCCAUACACAUCAGCCUAACCUCAUUUAGCAUACCAGUACAUUCAAAGUACUGACCACAUAAUUGUUUCUUACGUUAUGAUGUAUCAUAUCAUAGGUUCGGACGCUCAGGUUCCCGACCGCAGCUAGACCUCCCAGCGCAUCAGCAACAGUAGCAGUGGUGAGUCCUUAUAUUCUGAGGACCGAUUAUGUUAUUUUAGUAUUUUAGUUUAGUAGUCAAUUGGAGUUAUUUGGGGCCCGUCUCAUCAACUCUCAUUCAACCAGUUUUAGAGGCUUUCAGAUAUUUUGGAUAAUCAGUUGGUUGUCAGUUUUAUCAAUCAGUUUUCAGUAUUUUCACUGAUGUGUCAGACUUGUGGAUUUCAGUUGUAUUAUUUUUAGUAGUGAAACCUUAUGGCAUAUUUAGUUAUUUCUGCAAAUGUUCGUUAUCAGUAUAUUAUUUAGUUCUCACAGAAGGUACCAGCUCAUGGGUUAGAUUGUGGUCUCAGGACUAUAAGCACCGUGUGGCAUCCAGGGUGUACUCUUAGGGCGUUACAAACUUGGUAUCAAAGUCUAAAGUUUCAAAGUAUCCUAGGGAGUCUAAGAGCCAUCUUGAGUAGAGUCUUGUGCAUGGGUGUGAAGUGCGCCACACUUAUGGACAAGAGGCUAUAGGAAGUUUUAGGAAAAGUUCCCCUUCUUUUAGUAUUCAUAUCAUGCGAAUGAGCAUGAGCUCAACUUAAACUCUCUUUUUAAUUCAAUUUUCUUUCCAUUUACAAAAAAUUCCUCUCUAAAAGAAUAAUGGAAGAAGAAAUAGAAAUUAGGCUGCACCUCCGCCUGUUCAGGAAGAUCCCCUGAACAAGCAUGUCUCUUAUGUCGAAUUCAGGGCUGAAUUCACUACUUUAGCUCACUCAGUAGCAGCUCAGAAUAAUUAGUAGCCUGCUCUCACAGCCGUUCUAGUGGCUAAUACUGUCGCAGGUAGGAUUCAGGACUUCACCCUAAUGAACCCUCCUCUGUUUUUGGGGUCCAACUAUGAUGAGUAUUCGCAAGAGUUCCUUGAUAUGGUUCAGAAGGUAACUGAUAUUAUGUGUGUGACUUCUAGUGAGAGUGCUGAGUUGGUUGCUUACUAGUUGCAGGAUGUUGCUCACACCUAGUUUAAGUAGUAAAAGAGAGAUAGAGGCACAAAUGCAGGGUCAAUUGAAUGGGAGAAGUUUUCUACAACCUUUUUAGAUAGGUUCUUUCUCUUGGAGUUAAGGGAAGCUAAGGUGCAAGAGUUUAUCAAUUUGAAGCAGGGGAAUAUGAGUGUAAAAGAGUAUUCUCUUAAGUUUACUCGACUAGCCAGGUAUGCUUCUAAUAUGGUGUCAGAUGAUAGGUCUAGGGUGAGUAAGUUUAUUUCUGGGGUAGCUGAUAGCGUGGUCAAGGAGUGUAGGACAAUAAUUUUGAUUAAAGAGAUGGACUAGUCUAGGUUGAUGGUCAUUCUCAAUAGAUUGAGAAGCAAAAAAUUUUUUUUUAAAAGAGGGAGAAUAAGAGAGCUAGAAUAGAUAGCUUUAGUUUUUCUCAGCUGAGGUCAGAAGGUGGUAACCAUCCUAAAUCUCAUCAGAAAUAUUCAUCCCCAAUUCCAUCUUCAGCUAAAGCGCCAGUGCCAAAAUUCAGAAAUGAUUAUCGAGAUAGGGCGUCAGGCUCUAAGUCCCAGAGUAGUAUGUACAGUGGUCGUACAAAUCCUCUUUGCCAUAAAUAUGGUAGAAACUAUCAGGGUGUAUAGAUGUAACGCCCUGAGAGUACACCCUGGGUACCAUACGGUGGUUACGGUCCCGUAGACCAUAAGCUAACCCAUGAGCUGGUACCGGAUAUGAGCAUUGAAUAAUAUAAUAAUAUAUGCGGAAGAAUAACUGAUAAGCCAAAAAGUUUUAGCAACUGAAAAUAAUACUGGAUUAUGAAUCUGGAAACAACUGUCUGAAGCUAAUAAAAUAAUAACAAAACUAACUAUCUGUCUAAAAUAUUCGAAAGCCUCUAAAACAGACUGAAUAUGAGUUGAUGGGACAGGCCCCAACUAAUUCCAACUAGCUACUGAACUUAAAGCAUGAAAAUAGAUAUAUUUCAUCCUCAAAAUAUGAGGACUCACCACUUUUACGGCUGAUAAUCUAGAAAGUCUAUGAGCGAUCCGGGAACUAAGAGUCCAAACUUAUGAUAUGAUACAUCAUAAUACAAGAAAAAAUUAUGCGAUCAGUACUUUGAAUGUACUGGUAUGCUAAAUGAGGUAGGCUGAUAUGCAUGGUUUUAUGUACAAGAGUAAUAACUGACUGAGUGUAAACCAUAAAGUACUAAAUAAAAUGCAUGAAAUCUGUAAAUACUGAGAAUGCAUGACCAAGCAUAAUACAUGUUCUGAAUAUAAUCUGUAAAACUAAAAUACAAAAUUCUGAUAAUGAAAUGACUGAUUCUAUAUGCUAUGGUCAAGCAAAACUAAAACUGAGUUAGUGAGCUAAUUACUGGACUGAGACUGUAGGAGCUAUCAUCUAACCGAUAUGCCCCAAUGAGCAAUUUGGGGUCCAAACUGUGACCCCAGUUGGAAGGGUGUUAGUAGUAUGCUACGGAUACUAACACUGGUUGUGUGGAUUCACUAAAGUGUUAUCCCGAAGGACUAAGGGUUACCCUCAACUGGCAGGUACCCAUAUGAGAUCAACCCUCAACUGGUAGGUUAACAUCUCAACCUACGCUAGUUACGUAGUUAUGGAACAUGAGGACUACUACUAAAGGUCACACCCUUAAUUGGUAGGUGAGCCCCCAUCCCUGGGUUCACUCGGUUCUAAAUCCUACUUUUAACUAAACUGACUCGGAAUACUGAACUGUUCUAAGUUUAACUGAUUAUGAUAACUGACUGAACUGAUGGCACUUAUGAUCUAUCUGAAACUAUUCAGAAGAUACUGAGACUAGUAAACAACUAGAUUUUUGUGUAUUCAUAACCCCCAAGACUCGAUAGAAAUAAUAGCAAAAUAGUACUAAAACUUUGAGGACAUAAUAUGAAAGAAUUCAUUCAAAAUUCAUUCUUGUAGGCAUUUCAUCAAACACUUGAUAUUCAUAGUGUAAGCAAAGUAUGGGAAUAUUUAAAGCUUGUAGUAAUAACAUGAUUUCAACAUCAACAUCACUAAGUACGAUUUAAAUUAGUGAAUAACAACAUUAAAACAUGUGGGGUUUGAUAUUAACAAAAAUUUCUUGUAAACGUGGUAUAGAAUUACAAUUCAUGGGAGUUCAUGAUUGAAAUCACAAUUUAAAAUCAUAAUAACUUGUAAGGAUCACAAGUUUGAAUUUAAAAUUGGAUACUUGGGCUCCAUGGGUGAAAAGGGACCCAUGAAUGAACACUUAAUAAACCUGGGUCGAUGAAUUCGUGAGAAUUGAUGGCGAAUUCUUGAGUUCUGAUCUUGAACUUUGAAGGCUAGGGUUUUUGUUCUUGAAAGGAGAUUAGUUGCUUGAAGAGGAUUUGUGAGUAAUGGGGGUAUAUAAUGCCAUUUUAGGGUUUUAAUUUCAUGUUUUGGAUAAGUUUAGCGCCUUGGAAAAAUACCAAACGAUCCCUAAAAUUUAAAUCGCGAAAUUGGAAAUCCCAAUUUCGCAUGUCAGCGCGACGCGGUGCAAUUGCGUUGGGCCACUAGAAAAAGGACAAUUCCCAUUUUUCCCAAUGGCGUGAUGCAAUGCUAUCACGUUGUGCCUCUGGAAAUGGACGAUCCCUAACUGUAAGCUUGGUGUGACGCGGUGCCAAUUCUGGUGCUCCACUGGAAAUGUAUAAUUGUUAAAUGGCCCCUUGGCGCCACUCAUUGGCAAUCGUGGUGACACACUCGAAAAGGACGAACGUCAUUUUUGGGGUCACCGCAAUGUGGUGCUGCUCGUAUUAAACUACUGCUUUCACUAAAAGUGCCAUAACUUCUCACCCAGGUAUUAAAUUUGGGCAAAACUGGUAGCGUCGGAAAGCCAAUUCAAUUUCCUAUUAUUUGGUUGGUUUUGAGCUGAAAAAUUCUGAGUAUAGAAAAAGAGAUGCUUGUUUGAAGUUGACUAAAGCAAAACUGGUAGCGUCGGAAAGCUAAUUCAAUUUCCUAUUAUUUGGUGGGUCUUGAGCUGAAAAAUUCUGAGUAUAGAAAAAGAGAUGCUCAUUUGAAGUUGACUAAAGCAACAUUUUUCUAAAAAAAUCAAUCGGUAAGGGAUGUUUUGAUUCGUCUAAUAGUUGGGAGUUAUUUAAGGCCUUAAUUUACCUCAAAAUCACUCAUAAAACUACCAAAGAGCUAUAGUAUACUAUGCAUGAGUUUGAAACAUGGCGCUAACAUUGGUUUGAAUUUUUUGGGGUAUUAUAAUAUCUCCCCCUUGGGAACAUUCAUCCUCAAAUAAGACUGGUUAAAUUGAAAACACUAAGGAACUGAGAUUACAUGCUGGAUAUACGUGAUGAAAGCAUUAUUACAUGGUUGAGUCUAAAACAUGACAUAUGACUGAACUGGUUCUGUGAAUGCAUGACCGAUAUGAGAAUGAUAUGCAGCUGAAACUGGGCAUGGAGAAGAGAAAUUAUAAGGAGAUGUUUACCUUAAGUAGAGUAUGAGUUUGCGGAGGAAAGAUAUGGGUACUUGGUUCGCAUAUAUACUUCUUCUUCCCAAGUUUCUCCCUCCACGGACUGAUUCCGCCAAAGAACUUUGACUAGGGGAACUUCUUUGUUCCAUAGUCUAAGAAUUUGUCAAUCAAGGAUUUCUAUUGGAAUUUCUUCGUAAGAAAGGUUGUUCUGAACAUCUACACUUUCUAAGGGAACAACAACAGCUGGGUCUCCAAUACACUUCCUCAAUAAGGAGAUAGGUAAUACUGGGUGUACUAAUGAUAAGUGUGCAAGUAACUUAAGCUCAUAAUCCACCUUUAAGAAACGACUCAUAAUCCUGUAAGGGCCAACAUAUCGGGGACUAAGCUUCCCUUUUUUACCAAACCUCUUUACUCCUUUCAUGGGAGAAAUCUUCAGAUAUACGAAAUCACUAAUCUCAAACUCAAGAUCUUUCCUCCUCACAUCUGCAUAAGAUUUUUGUCAGCUCUGUGCUGCCUAAAGCCUCUCCCUGCCUUAAGGCAUCAAACACCAAGUUAGGCCCCACUACCGCGGCCUCACCUACUUUAAACCAACCAAUCAGAGAUCUACAUAUCCUUCCAUACACAGCCUCAAAUGGAGCCAUUUGAAUGCUGGAAAGAUAGCUAUUACUAUACGCGAAAUCAAUCAAAGGUAAGUGGUCAUCACAACUGCCCUUAAAGUCGAUGACACAUGCUCUCAACAUAUCCUCAAGGGUCUGAAUGGUCCUUUAUGCCUGACCAUCUGUCUAAGGGUGAAAUGCUGUACUGAGGUGAACUUGGGUACCAAGACCCUUUUCAAAAGCUUUCCAAAAGUGAGAGGUAAAUUGAGUACUUCUGUCUGAAAUGAUAAAGAAUGGAACACCGUGUAACCUAACCAACUCUCUAAUAUAGAGUUUGGCAUAGUCCUCAACUGAAUACGAAGUAUGGACUGGAAAGAAAUGGGCUGAUUUGGUCAUCCUAUCUACAAUGACCCAAAUCAAAUUAUUCUGAUGAAGAGUACGAGGCAAACCUGUCACAAAAUUUAUGUUCACUACCUUCCACUUCCAAGUGGGAAUACUAAACUCCUGCAUAGACCCACUAGGCUUCUAAUGCUCAAUCUUAACCUGCUGAUAAGUAGAGCACUUAGCCACAAACUCUGUAAUAUCCCUCUUCAUCCUACUCCAACAAAAAAUUUCUCGUAGAUUGCAGUACAUCUUCAUGGCCCCUGGUGGAUAGAGUAACACACACCAUGCGCUUCUACAAGAAUUUGCUGUCUCAACUCAUAAACACACGACACAAACAUUCUACCCUGGAAAUGCAUCACACUAUCUCCUCCAUGGGAGAAAACCUCUACUUUUUGAUCUUUGACUGACUCCUUUAGUUUCACCAGACUAGGAUCUCAAUCCUACUUUUCUUUCACUUCAACAACCAAAGAAGAUUGUGAACUAUUCUGAACCCAAACUCUACCUUUAGCUAAAUCAACAAAACAAACACCUAACCUGGCAAGCUGAUGAAUUUCUUUAACUAACUUCUUCUUAUCACCCUUGAUAUGAUCAAAACUACCCAUAUAUAAUCUAAUAGGGCAUCUACCACUAUAUUUCCCUUUCCCGAGUGGUGCAAAACACUCAUAUCAUAAUCUUUCAGCAACUCUAACCAUUUUCUAUAAUGUAGAUUCAAAUAUUUCUAUGAAAACACAUACUACAAGAUUUUGUGAUCUGUGAACACAUUAACAUGCACCCCAUACAAAUAAUGCCUCCAAAUCUUUAAGGCAAUCAUAACAACUGCUAACUCAAGAUCAUGGGUAGGAUAAUUCCUUUCAUGGGGCUUAAGAUGUCUAGAGCCAUAGGCCACAACUUUACCCCCCCCCCCCUGCAUCAAAACACUCCCUUAACCAACUCUGGAAGCAUCACAGUACACAACAAACCCAUCUAAACCAUUUAGCAAUGUCAAAACUAGGGCAGUCAUGAGUCGAGUCUUCAACUCCUAAAAACUCUUAUCACAAGAAUCUAACCACUUAAGCUUAACUUUCUUCUGAUUCAAUCUGAACAUGAGGGAUAAAAUAGAUGAAAACCCUUUAAAAAAUCAUCGGUAAUAGCCAGCUAAACCAAAGAAACUCCUAAUAUCUAUAGAGAAAUGGGUCUGGGCCAGUUUCUCACCGCUUUGGACUUUUGAGAAUCAACUAUAAUUCCAUCACUAGAAAUAAUAUGUCCAAGAAAAGCUACUGAUCUUAGCCAAAAUUCACACUUACUGAAUUUAGAGAACAACUGAUGGGCUCUAAGAGUUUGCGAUACUAUUUUGAGGUGGUCUGCAUGAUCAUUUUCAUUACGGGAGUAGACAAAAAUGUCAUCAAUGAAGACUAUGAUGAACAUGUCUAAGUAAUUCUUGAACACUCGGUUUAUCAAGUCCAUAAAGGUUGUUGGGGAAUUCGUGAGACCAAAGGACAUGACUAGAAACUCAAAGUGACCAUAUCAAGUUCUAAAAGCUAUUUUUGAAAUGUUACAUUCUCUGACUCUGAGCUGAUGAUAGCCGAAUCUGAGGUCCAUCUUAGAAAAUUAACUGGCACCCUGAAGUUGGUCAAAUAAGUCAUCAAUUUUGGGAAGUGGAUAUUUGUUUUUAAUUAUGACUUUGUUCAACUGACGGUAGUCAGUGCACAUUCUAAGAGAACAGUCUUUCUUACGCACCAACAAAACUGGUGCACCCCACGGUGAGAUGCUGGGUUGGAUGAAUCCCUUAUCUAGGAGAUCUUUCAACUGCUCUUUCAAGUCUUUGAAUUUGGCUGGAGCCAUUCUGUAUGGUAGAAUAGAGAUAGGUCGAGUAUCUGGAAGAAGGUCUAUUUUGAAGUCAAUUUCCCUUUUGGGAGAAACUUCGAAAAGGUCUUCAGGGAAUAUAGUUGGAAAUUCCCUCACUACUGAAGCUGAAUCAAGGUUAGGAGUCUCAGAAUUAGAGUUGUUAACUCGAAUAAGAUGAUAAAUACACCCCUUGGAUAUCAUCUUUAUCGCUCUAAGGUACGAAACAAGUUGACCCCUAAGAGUUGUAGUACUACCCCUCUAUUUAAGGACUAGUUCAUUUGAAAACUAAAAAUGAACUACUCUGUUUCUAUAAUCAACUGAAGCAUAACAUGAGUGGAGCCAAUCCAUGCCGAGAAUGAUGUCAAAAUCCGUCAUCUCUAACUCCACAAGAUUAACUGAAGUAACUUUCUGAGAUAUUGUGAUCGGACAGCUCCUGUAUACCUGCCUGGCUACAAUAGAGAUAACUACUAGGGUAGAUACUAAAAAAAGCUCUGCUAAGAUUUUUGGACUGACUCCAAAGUUGAUGACUAUAUAAGGGGUUACAAAAGAAAGAAAAGCUCUAGGGUCUAAUAAAGCCUGGCGCCCUAUCCCGAUUGUUAUUUUUGAACUAGCUGAAGAUGGAGCUGGGUCUGAAGAUUUUUGACAAAACUGAGAAUGGUUACCACCUUUUGACCUUAGCUAAUUGAAACUAAAGCUACCCGUUCUAUCUCAUUUAUUUUUCCCCCCUCUCUUUCCUUAGUCUUCUACUCCUCAAUCUGUUAAGCAUGGACCAUAAGCCUAGACAAGUCCAUCUUCUUAAUCAACAUUGCAGUCCUACACUCCUUGACAACACUAUCAAAUACACCAGACACAAACUUACUCAUCUUAGACCUGCUCUCAGCUACCACAUGAGGAGCAUACCUAGGUAAUUGAGUAAAAUUGAGGGAAUACUACUUCACACUCAUGUUUCCCUACCUCAAGUUAAUAAACUCUAACACCUUGGAUUCUCUCAACUCCAAUAGAAAGAACCUAUCUAAGAAGGCAGUAGCAAACUCUUCCUAUUCUAUAGGCCCUACAUCUACGCCUCUAUCUACCUUUCACUACAUAAACCAUAUAUGAGCUACAUCUUGCAACUGGUAAGCAACCAAUUCAGCACUCUCACUAGAAGUUACCCCCAUAAUAUCUGUUACCUUUUGGACUAUGUCUAAGAAUUUCUGUGGAUUUUCUUCAGAUUUGGAUCUCAAAAAUAGAGGAGGAUUCAUUCGAGUAAGUCCCGAAUCCUAAUUGCGGCAAUAUUAGACAUGGGGUUGGCUGGGACAGUGGCUAUCUGAACAUUGUGAGAUUUCAUAAAAUGGGUUAGAGUAGUGAAUGUAGCUUUAAAAUCUGUAUGAGAAACAUGCUCAUUCAGAGGAUCUUCCUGAAUGGGCGGAGGUACUGACUGGUUUAUAUUUCUUUUUUCGUUUGUCUUUCUGGAAGGCAUGUUAUGUGAAUGGAAGAAAGAUUAGAUUAGACAUAUAGUUUAACAUGAGCUCAUGCUCAAUCGCAUGAUAUGAACGCUGAAAGAAGGGAAACUUUUCUUAAAAUGCUACAUAGCCUCUUGUCCAUAAGUGUGGCACAUUUCACACCCAUGCACAAUACUCUACUAGAUAUGGCUUUUAGACUUCCUAGGACACUUUAAAACCUUAGGAUCUAAUACCAAAUUUGUAAUGCCUCGAGAGUCCACCCUGGGCACCACACGGUGCUUACGAUCCCGAGAGGCCACAAGCUAACCCAUGAGCUGGUACCUGCUGUGAGCACUGAAUAAUAUAAUAAUACAUACGGAAGAACAACAAAUAAGCCAUAAGGUUUUAGCAAUUGAAAAUAAUACUGAAUCAUGAAUCUAGAAACAAUUGUCUAAAACUAAUAAAAUAGUAAUAAAAUUGACUGUCUAGCUGAAAUAUUUGAAAGCCUCUAAAACUGACUGAAUAUGAGUUAAUGGGAUAGGCCCCAACUAACUCUAACUAGCUACUGAACUGAAAACAUGAAAAUAAAUAUAGUGUGUCCUCAAAGUAUAAGGAUUCACCACUACUGUGAUGUAUAAUCUAGAAAGUCUAGACGCGAUCUAAGAACUAAGCAUCUGAAUUUAUGAUGUGAUACAUCAUAUAGCAAGCAAAGAGUAUGUGAUCAGUACUUUAAAUAUACUGGUAUGCUAAAUGAGGUAUGCUGAUAUUCAUGAUUCAUGUGAGUAAUAAUUGAUUGAGUGUAUAGCAUGAAGUACUGAAUACAAUGCAAAAAUCUAUAAAUACUGAGAAUGCAUGACUAAGCAUAAUACAUGUUCUGAAUAUAAUCUGUAAACUAAAAUACUAAAAUCUUAUAACUGAAUGACUAAUAUAUGUAUGCUAUUGACAGUAUCCAAGCGCACAUGAAAGUGUACAUAGUCUUAUCAAGUAGUAAAGUGGUUUUAAGAAAGCCCAAGUAUCAAUCUCACAGGGACUUGCGUUUGCCACCUCUCCAAUUCUAGUUCAAUAAUUAAGAAAAAGUAAACAAAAAGGUUUUAGAGCUGUAAACUAAAAAUAAACUAAACUAAUACAAAAAAUUAAUGACUUUGGACAAUCAUAGGACAGAAGCCCAGGGUUAAGGCUUAAGAACAAUCAUACUAUGUUGUUGAACUUCAUUCGUUAACUCGCUUAUGUUGAUUGUUGAUUCAUAGGGUUAAUUGCAUGAUCAGAGUUUCCCAACCUCUAAUCCUUUUAUUAAUUUGAACCUUAUAACUACUUUGUUGAGUGGGGAUGUAAUAGUCUACUUAAGUUAUGUAAGCUAUCAUCCUAUGUGUGAAUCAAGUAAGUCAUCUAAGUAUAUCCCUAUCUUAGAUGCUAAUUCAAAUCUCUUAUUUUAUAAAGAAACAAGAACCAUACUUUUCUUAUUUCUAUACUCUAUCUCCCUAUUCCCUCUCCUGAGAUCAUAAGCUUGACAAUUGAUUUAUUCUAAGGGUAGCUAAUCCUUAAAAUAGUUAAAACUAGAAUAAGCAAACAACCAAUGAUGAUAAGAAAAUUAUCAAACUUAAUUCAAAACAAAAGUAUUCAUGAUCAUAUCCUUAACCCCGGAUAGGAGUUUGAGCCUUUAGUGGACAUAUUCAUCAUCCAAUCCCUUGGAUUGACGAUACAAACCAUGAAAGAAACUAAAGUUUAGAUAAUAAAACACUUAAAAGAAGUCGUGGAAGCUUCCUUAAUCCUUCAAGACAUCCAAAAAUAUGUAAAAAUAUGCUACAACAUGUAUUUAUAACAUAGGAGUAAGCCAAGUCCGUCCAGGAAUCGAAUUAGAGUGAAACGCCCAAGGGUGAAAUGGAACAUGCUAUGCACACUAUAUUCCAUAGGAAUGGAGAAUGAGAUGCAUGAAUAUUGCAUGUACAAACUGUUUUGGAUCCCUUAUGAGUAUUUUGAUGUGUUUAACACGCCCAUACUCCUUCACACAUGCCCAUACUCGGCCUGGAUAUUCUAGGUGUCCAAAUUGCAUUAAUUUUGUUAUCAUUCAUUUGUUGAGCCAUUCUGAGCCUUUUUGAGUUAUUUCCACUUUAUUUGAAGCUUUUAUAUCCAUAAUAUAUCAUCAUAAUACAUUAAAAAAGCAUACUAUAUCAUUAAAAACAACAAUUUAGAGCUCAAAACAACACACCAUCCAAAACGGAGAACUAGAAACACGAGCUAAGCAUAGGCUUCAUUCACUUUGAUUUCUAACUUAUUGUUUUGACUUAUGCCUUGAUUCAAUUGACCAUUAAACAUUACCAAUAAUUUUUUUCACAUAUAAAUACACAAUAACAACCUUAGGAACUCAUUAAACACGUUAUAACCCAAUACGAUAGACUAAACAUACACCUAGCUCAAACUAAUCACACUAGUUUUCUCGAUUGACUUCUAAAUAACCAAUUUGAAUCAAAACUUUUGUGGAAACACUAUUAAACAUUAUAAACACAUAUAUGGACACUUAGAUGCAUAUUUAUAUCAUUAUCACCAUACUAAGCACAUGAAUCAUCCUCAAAACAAAGCUAAAAGGGCUAGAAUAGCAAUGCUAAAAGGCAUAAAUUCACCCAACAUCAGCUAUGGUCAAGCAAAAAGAAAUUGAGUUACUGAGAUUAUUAUUAGACUGAGACUGUGGGAGCUAUCAUCUAACCAACAUUCCCUAAUGAGAAAUUUAGGGUCCAACAUGUGACCCCAUUUAGAAGGGUGUCAGUACUGUGCCACGGGUACUAACACUAGGUGUGUGGAUCAGCUAAAGUAUUGUCCCAAAGGACUAAGGGUUACUCUAAACUGGCAGGUACCCAUAUGAGAUCAACCCUCAACUAACAGGUUAACAUCUCAACCUAUGCUGGCUAUAUAGUUAUGGAAUGCGAAGACUGCUACUAAAGAUCACACCCUCAACUGGCAGGUGAGCCCCCAUCCCUGGGUUCACUUGGUGCUAAAUUCUACUACCAAUUGAACUGACUCGGAAUACUAAAUUGUUCUAAGUUUAACUAAUUAUGAUAACUGGCUAAACUGAUGGCACUCAUGAUCUAUUUGAAACUAAUCAGAAGAUACUGAGACUGGUAAACAACUAGAUUUUUGGGUAUUCAUAACCCCUAGGACUUGAUAGCAAUAAUAGAAAAAUAGUACUAAAACCUUGAGGACAUAAUACGAUAGCAUUCAUUCAAAAUUCAUUCUAGUAGAAAUUUCAUCAAACACUUGAUAUAGUGUAAGCUAAGCAUGGGAAUAAUUUAAAGCUUGUAGUAAUAGCAUGAUUUCAAUAUCAACAUCACUAAGUAUGAUUUAAAUUAGUGAAUAACAACAUUAAAAUAUGUGGGGUUUGAUAACAAUAAUUUUAUAUAAAUUUGGCAUAGAAUUACAAUCCAUGAGAGUUCAUGGUUGAAAUCAUAAUUUAAAAUCAUAAUAACUUAUAUGGAUCACAAGUUUGAAUUUAAAAUUGGAUACUUGAGCUUCAUGGGUUAAAAGGACCUACGAAUGAAUACUUGAUAUACCUGGGUUGAUAAAUUCGUGAGAAUUGGUGGUGAAUUCUUGAGUUCUGAUCUUGAAAUUUGAAGGCUAGGGUUUUUGUUCUUGAAAAGAGAUUAGUUUCCUGAAGAGAAAUUGUAUGUAAUGGGGCAUAUAAUGCCUCUUUAGGGUUUUAAUUUCAUGUUUUGGAUGAGUUUAGUGCCUUGGAAAAAGACCAAACGAUCCCUGAAAUUUAAAUUACAAACUGGAAAUCCUAAUUUUGCAUGUUGGCGUGAUGCGGUGCAAUCAUGUUGGGCCACUGGAAAAAGGAAAAUUCCCAUUUUUUCCAAUGGCGCGAUGCGGUGUUAUCGCAUUGCUCUUCUAAAAAUGGACGAACCCCAACUGAAAACUUGGUGCGAUGCGUUGCCAAUCGCGGUGCCUCACUGGAAAAGGACAAUUGCAAAAUGGCCCCUUGAUACUAUGCACUGGAAAUCAUGGUAACAUAUUGGAAAAGGAUGAACGUCAUUUUUGGGGGCACCGUGUUGUGGUGCUGCUCGUAUUGAGCUACUGCUUUCUCUAAAAGUGACAUAACUUCUCACCUGGGUAUUGAAUUUGGGAAAAAUUGGUAUUUUUAGAAAGAUAAUUCAAUUUUCUAUCAUUUGGCAGGUCUUGAGAUGGAAAAUUAUGAGUAUAGAAAAAGAUAUUCUCGUUUGAAGUUGACUAAAGCAAUAUUCUUCUAAAAAAUUCAAUCGGUAAGGGAUGUUUUGAUUCGUCUAAUAGCUGAGAGUUAUUUGAGUCCUUAAUAUACCUCAAACUCACUCAUAAAACUACCAAAGAGAUAUAAUAUACUAUUAUGAGCUUAAAAUAUGGCGCUAACAUUGGUUUGGAUUUUUUGGGGUAUUAUAGUAGAGCUGAUAGUGAUAUAUACUUUGGGUGUGGCAAGCCAGGCCAUAGAGUCAGGGAUUGCCCAAAUAGUGGUCAGCAGGGUCGGUCCAGUCAUUCCAUAGUUCCAUCCGAUCGCCCGACUCAGUAGGGUGCUGCAUCCAGCGCAACCAGUGGUCAGCGCCCAAAUAUAUUAUAUAAGUCCCGAUAUGGUUACUGGUACGUUACAAGUUUUUCAUUUAUAUGUUUAUGCUUUGUUAUAUCCUAGAGCAUCUCUUUCUUUUUUAACUCUCUACAUAACUAUUAAUUUUGGUAUCAGUCUUGACACUUUAAAUGAACCCUUUUCAGUGUCUACCCUAGUAAGUGUCUCUAUUAUAGCCAGACAGGUAUACAGGAAGUGUCCGAUCAUAAUAUCCCAGAAAGUCACCUCAGCUGAUCUAGUGGAAUUAGAGAUGACUAAUUUUGAUGUGAUUCUCGGCAUGGAUUGGCUCCACUCAUGCUAUGCUUCAGUUAAUUGUAGAAACAUAGUUGUUUAUUUUCAAUUUUUGAAUGAAUGAGUUCUUUAAUAAAGGGGUAGUACUUCAGCAUUUAGGGGUCAGUUUGUUUCGUAUCUUAGAGCGAGAAAAAUGAUAUCCAAGGGGUGUGUCUACUAUAUUGUUUGAGUUAAAUACUCUAGUUCAAAGAUUCCCAAUCUCGAGUCAGUUUCUAUAGUGAGGAAAUUUCCAUAUGUGUUUCUCGAAGAUUUUCUUGGAGUUCCUCCUAAAAAGGAAAUCAACUUCAGAAUAAACCUUUUUCCAGAUACCCAGCUUAGGGAGUUAAAAAAAAUGAAAUAUCUCUUAGAUAAGAGAUUCAUCAGGUCCAGUAUUUCCCCGUGAGGUGCUCCAAUCCUUUUUGUGCAUAAGAAAGAUGGUUCUCUUAGAAUAUUGAUCGAUUAUCAUCAGUUGAACAAAGUCGCAAUCAAGAAUAAGUAUCCACUCCCUAGGAUUAUUGACUUAUUUGAUCAACUUCAGGGUGCCAGUUAUUUCUCUAAGAUAGACCUCAAAUUUGGCUAUUAUCAUCUCAGAGUUAGAGAAUGUGACAUUCCAAAAAUAGCUUUCAGAACUUGGUAUGGUCACUUUGAAUUUCUAGUUAUAUCCUUUGGUCUAACAAAUGCUCCAACAACUUUCAUAGACUUGAUGAACAGAGUGUUCAAGCAGUACUUGGACAUGUUUAUCAUAGUCUUCAUAGAUGACAUCCUUGUCUAUUCCCGUAAUAAAAAUGAUCAUGUCGACCACCUUAAAAUAGUAUUGUAGAUUCUUAGAGCCCAUCAAUUGUUCACCAAAUUCAGUAAGUGCGAAUUUUAGCUAAGAUCAGUAGCUUUUCUUAGCCAUAUUAUUUUUGGCGAUGGCAUUAGAGUUGCCCCCUUAAAAGACCAAAGCAGUGAAAAACUGGCCUAGACCCAUUUCUCUAUCAGAUAUCAGGAGUUUUUUUAGGUUUAGCUGGCUAUUAUCGAUGAUUUGUUGAAGGGUUUUCAUCUAUUGCAUCUCUCAUGUCCAGAUUAACUCAGAAGAAAGUCAAUUUUUAGUGGUCAAAUUCUUGUAAGAAGAGCUUUCAGGAGUUGAAACUCCACUCACCUUAGCCCUAGUUUUGACCUUGCCAGAUGGUUCAGAUGGGUUUGUUAUUUACUGUGAUGCUUCUAGAGUUAGUUUAGAUUGUAUUUUGAUGCAGAGAAGUAAGGUCAUAGUCUAUGCCUCUAGAUAACUUAAACCCCAUGAGAAAAAUUAUCAUGAUCUUGAGUUAGCAGCUAUUGUGUUUGCCUUAUGAAUUUGGAGGCAUUAUUUGUAUGGGGCGCAUGUUGAUGUGUUCACAGACCAUAAAAGUUUGCAGUAUGUGUUUUCAUAAAGAGAGUUAAAUAUCUGUCAGAGAAGGUGGUUAGAAUUGUUGGAAGACUAUGAUAUGAGUAUUUUGUAUUAUUUGGGCAAAGUUAAUGUAGUGGAAGAUGUCCUUAGUAGAUUGUCUAUGGGUAGUGUGGCUCAUGUUGAGAAUGAUAAAAAGAAUCUGGUUUAGGAGGUUCAUCAGUUGGAUAGGUUAGGCAUUUUUGGUUGACUUAGCUGAGGGUAGUGUUUGGGUUUGGAAUAGUUUGGAAUCUUCUUUGGUUGCUGAAGUGAAAGAAAAGUAAGAUAGGGACCGCAGUCUAGUAGAGUUAAAGGAGUCAGUCAGAGAUCAGAAAGUAGAGGUUUUCUCCCAAGUGGGAGAUGGCGUAUUGCUUUGCCAGGGUAGACUGUGUGUGCCGUGUGUAGAUGGUUUGAGAUAGUGAAUUCUCGCAGAAGCGCAUAGGGCACGUUAGUCUAUUCACCCAGCAUCCACUAAGAUGUACCGUAAUUUAUGAAAAAUUUAUUGGUGGAGUGGUAUGAAAAGGGAUAUUGCAGAGUUUGUAGCUAAGUUUUCUAUUGUCAAUAGGUUAAGGUUGAGGACUAAAGAUCUAGUGGAACUAUACAGGAGUUCAACAUCCCCACUUUGAAGUGGUAAGAGAUGAACAUGGACUUUGAGAUAGGGUUGCCUUAUUCACGUCGUCAGCAUGAUUCAAUUUGGGUUAUUGUAGAUAGAAUGACCAAAUCAGCCCAUUUCUUCCAACUCCAUACUUCUUAUUCAGCCAAGGAUUAUGGCAAGCUCUAUAUUAGAGAGUUGGUUAGGUUGCAUGGAGUCUCAUUUUCCAUCUUUUUAGAUAGAGGUACUCAGUUUACCUCUCACUUUUGGAAAGCUUUUCAAAAGGAUCUUGGUACUCAAGUUCGUCUUAGUACAACCUUUCACCCUCAGACAGAUGGUCAGGCAGAGAGGACCAUUCAGACCCUAGAAGAUAUAUUGAGAUCUUGUGUUAUCGACUUUAAGAGUAGUUGGGAUGAUCACUUUCCAUUGAUUGAGUUUGCCUACAAUAACAGUUAUCAUUCCAGUAUUCAUAUGGCCUCAUUUGAGGCUCUGUAUUGGAAGAUAUGUAGAUCUCCUAUUAGUCCAGGUAAUUAGAGAAAGGCUUCAGACAUCCCAAAGCCAUCAGAAAUCCUUUGCGGAUAUACGUAUGAGGGAUCUCGAGUUCGUAGUUGGAGACUUGGUUUAUUUGAAAAUCUUUCCCAUGAAGAGAGUGAAGAGGUUUGGAAAGAAGGGGAAGCUUAGUCCCUGAUAUAUUGGCCCUUACAGGAUCUUAAACUGGUUUGGAAAAGUAGCUUAUGAGCUUGAGUUGCCUGCAGAUUUGGCAUCAGUGCACCCAAUGUUUUACAUUUCUUUGUUGAAAAAGUAUAUUGGUGAUCCAGUUGUUGUUGUUCCUUUAGAAAGCUUAGAUGUUCAGGAUAGCCUUUCUUAUGAAGAAUUCCUAGUCAAAAUAUUAGAUUGCCAGAUUCACAGACUAAGGAACAAAGAAGUUCCCUUGGUCAAAGUUCUUUGGCGGAAUCAGUCCGUUGAGGGAGCCACUUGGGAAGCAGAAGCAGAUAUGCAAACCAAGUACCCUCACCUUUUAUCCGCAAACUCAGAUUCAGUUCAAGGUAACAGUUUUCCCUUAUAUUAUCUAUUUUCCAUUCUGAGUCCCAGCCAUAUGAUCAUAUUCAUGUCAUUGCAUGCAUUCACGAAUUAGUUCAGUCAGUCACCAUGUACAGACUCAGUCAUGUAAUCAUGUUUCAGCAUUGGAUAUUCAAUAUGUAAUUUUAGUACCUCAGUAAUUCUUUGCUUAACCAGUCUUAUUCGAGGAUGAAUGUUCCCAAUAGGGAGAUAUUAUAAGACCCCGUAAGAUCCUAGCUCAUUUUAGGUCACUCUUGCAUUCUAAAGGGGUCUAAGACUAGAAAAUUUCACAAAGUGUUAAGACUUAGUCAUUUACAAAGCCUCUUAAACUUUGAUGAUUUUAAUUCUGACCUUCCUGGCCUUAGAAUGUCGAUUUUUAAGUUUAUUCAUGAUUGUGUGGUCGAUAGCAUGUCUCAGGUAAGUUUCAAAUUUUCUUGAUGAGGUUUAAGGCUUGUUUGGAUGUUCGAACCAAUGAGUCAACGUGAUAUGUCCGUGGCGCGCUACUUAUCGCAUUGGUGGGGUGUGACAUAGUGCAUCACCUAACGCAUUGACUGAGCGACGUAAUGCAUCACUUACCGCGUCACUGGCCAUAUUCAUUUUAAUUAAUUCUGGGUAUGUCAGGGUAUUUGAGUCAUUUUCCCCUUACUUUGUCUCACCCAUAACAUGAGAUUAAGGUCCCCAAAAGGAAAAAUCACUAUCUUUUCACAAACUCUUUUAAGAACAAAACCCUAGCUUCUUUAAAUCCAAGUUCAAGCUUCAAGAAAUCACCAAGAACUCACAAAAAUUCAUCAGCUAAGGUAUGUUAGAUGUUCAUUCUUAGGCCCUUUUCACCCAUGGAGUCCAAUAAUCUGCUUUAAAGUUUAAAAUCAUGACCUUUAUAUGUUUUCAUGAAUUUUAUCCAUGAACUUCCAUGAAUUUCAAUUUUAUAUCAUGUUUACAUGUGUUUUUGUUGGAAUUAGCCUUUGAUCUAUUUAAAGGAUGAUAUUUGCAUGUUAGAUUCUUAACCCAUGAUUUUUGUACUGAAAUUAUGUUAUUAUGCCAUGAUUUAGCUAUUCCCAUGCUUUAUGACCCUCAUGUGUUUGAUUAAAUGCCUAAGAGAUGAAUUUUGAACAAUGACUACUUAUCAUGCUUUUGAAGAUUUUGAAUGUUUCUACAUGUAAUGUUAUCGAGUCUUGGGGGUUAUGAAUACCCAAAAACUUAGUUGUUUACUUAGACUCAGUAUUUUUAGAAUGGCUUCAAAUAUAUUAGAGUAUUAUCAGUUCAGUCAGUUAUCAUAUUAGUAAGCUCAGUUCAGUCUAGUAAUCAGAGUCAGUCCAGUUAGAAAUAGGAUUUAGCACUAAGAAAACUCAGGGAUGGGGGCUAGGGGCUCACCUAUCAGUUGAGGGUGUGACCUUUAGUAGCAGUUACUGCAUUCCAGAACUAUGUAUCUAACAUAGGUUGAGAUGUUAACCUGCCAGUCGAGGGUUGCCAUAUAUCUCACUAGAGAACCUGCCAGGAGAUGCUGACUCUUUAGUCCUUCAGUACUUCACUUUAUUAGAUCCACACAACCAGUGUUAGUACCCGUGGCAUAGUACUGACACCCUUCCAACUGGGGUCACAGGUUGAAUCCCAAUUAGCUUAUAUUUAGGCAUGUCAGUUAGAUAAUAGCUUCUAUAGUUUCAUUCUAGUCUCAGUUUGAAAGUCAGUUCAGGUUUGCUUGAUCAUAGAAUACAGUUUAUUAGUUAAAUCAGUACUCAGAUUUCAGUAUUUCAGUUUACAGACUAUUCUAGUAUCAUGUUAUAUGCUUGGUCAUACAUUCUUAGAUUUUACAACCUUCACGCAUACUAUGCAUCGAUUGUCUCAUGCUAUUUCUUUAGUCAGUUAUUAUUCAUGCACAUGAGCCCAUGCACAUCAGCCUCACCUGAUUUAGCAUACCAGUACAUUCAAAGUACUGACCGCAUACUCAUUUUUUGUACUAUGACGUAUCAUAUCAUAGGUUUGGAUGCUUAGGUUUUCGACCAUAGAUAGACCUCCCAGCACAUCAGUAACAGUGGCAGUGGUGAGUCCUCAUAUUAUGAGGACCAAUUAUGUUAUUUCAGUAUUUCAGUUCAGUAGUCAGUUGGAGUUAGUUGGGGCCUGUCUCAUCGACUCACAUUCAGUCAGUUUUAGAGGCUUUUGAACAUUUCAGACAAUCAGUUAGUUGUCAAUUUUAUCAGUCAGUUUUCAUCAUUUUUGCUUAUGUUUUAGACUUGUGGAUUUUAGUUGUAUUGUUUUUAGUAUUGAAACCUUAUGGCAUAUUUAGUUGUUUUUGCAUAUGUUUGUUAUCAGUGUAUUAUUCGCUCACAGCAGUUACUGGCUCAUGGGUUAGCUUGUGGUCUCUCAGGACUGUAAGCACCAUGUGGUGUCAAGGGUAUACUCUUGGGGCAUUAUAGAUAUCAACAACGAAUAGUGGAGUUUGUAUCUCAAAUCUAUAUUUUUGUGAUUAUUAUGGGCGGAUAAAAGAGACUAUACAAGUGGAAUACUGUGAAGCACCUUUAAAGCAAACUAUCUUAUUCAAAUGUGAAUGGUUUGACCCAAUAAUGGAUAUUGGUGUUAAGAAGCAUAAUCAGUACAAAUUGGUUGAUAUUUACCAUCGUCGUCGGUCUAAAAAAUAUAAACCUUUUAUUCUUACAAUACAAGCAACUCAAGUAUGUUAUGUACUUUAUCCAAGAAAGAAAAAGGACAAAAAUUAUUGGCUAGCUGUAUUGAAGGUCAAACCUCAAAAUGUUAUUAAAUUACUAGUUGAGGAUGUGGUGACAACUUCAGAAUUGAAUGUUUCUUUUCAAGUUCAAGAAGUUGAAGUCCAUGAGAUCGAUAUGUCUGUUUCUAUUGAUGAAAGUAUACUCUCGGAUGAUCCAAAUAGGGGUGUACUUGAAAUGAAUGAACCCAUUAAUGAUGGUUUAUUUAAAGAGCAUCAUAAAAUUCAAGAUGAAUCUACAGAAGAAAAAUAUAAAACUGAGGAAACUGAGGAGGAUGAGGAAGAUAAAGAGUUUGAAUAAGACAUGGAUAGUGACUAGAGCUUGAUAAAAAUCUACUUUUUUUAUAUUUGUUGUAUUUUUUUUAGUAAGAAGACAUAGAUAGUGACAAGAGCUUGAUAAAAAUUUACUAUUUUAUCUUUGUUGUAAUUUAUUUUUAGUAUUUUUUCUCAAAAAUAUUGUCAUUUCCUUAGUUUCUUCUUUUCAGCUCUUUUUUAAAAAAUAAAGACAACAUCUUUGUACAUAGUAAAAGCAACUCCUGGAGAGUGUUGUAAAAGAGCAAAACUGAAGAUUAAAACACUAUUUGUGAUGAGUCUUAGGUAAGCAUAUAAAAAACAUGGGAAGAAAAUGUGUAUAUGUUUGAAAGAAACACCCAAAACCCUAAUUUCUCUAUCAAAGAAAUCCUCAUCAUCGUCGUCAUCGAUAGUAUGGCCAGUCUGGCCAAGGAUCAGAUUACAGAUAGUGGUCAAAAAUGUAAUUUGUCCUUUGUUACUUCUGAAAAAUAUUUUCACAAAUUAUGUCACCCAAAAUCUUCUAAUAAAAAUCCUGGUAUGCCGACUGAGGUAGCUUCGAAGUCUGAUGUGUUGCCUAUGUCUCCUUCAAGUAUGGAAAAUCAGAAUAUUGUUGAUGAGAAAAAGGCUUCAAAAUUUAAGUUUGUAGAUUUAUUGAAACCUUUGAACUCUUUGCAUCCAAUAAGCAAACAUGAUCAAAUAUCCAUUCUUGUGAAGGAAGUGGAAUAUAAAAAUGUGGUGCCUAGAGUUACCUGGAUGGAAGAGGAGGUGGAUAAGAUGAACAUAAUUGAAGAAUGGCAAUUAGUAGUGAUUGAUAAAUUUUCUUAUGGUUGGUUUGAGUUGGAAGAUUUACGUACACAAAUUCCAAAGAAAUGUAAGAUCAAAGGAGAGUAUAAAAUUGGUUUUCUGAGGCACAAACAUAUUCUAAUGCGAUUCAAGUUGAUGGAGGAUUUUGUGAAUAUGUUAUCCAAGAAUUUAUAUUAUAUCACUACAAGAGAUGGGAUAACAUAUCAGAUGAGACCUUUUAUCUAUGAUGCUAAUUUCAAACAUGAAGAAGAUACCACAUAAGCAAUGACUUGGAUCUCUUUCCUUGAUUUGCUUCCUAUAUUUUUUGCAAAGGAAUCAUUGUUUUCAUUAUCUUCAGCUGUUGGAAAGCUAAUCCAUCUGGAUUUAACCAUGAUUAAUAAAACUCAUCCUAGUUUUGCAAAGGUUAAAGUUCAAGUUAAUUUUACUGAAAAGCUUCCGGAAUAUGUGGAACUAGAAGUGUAAAAUGCUAAAACUAAUGAAACAAGAGUACAAAAAGUGAAGAUUCAAUAUGAUAUGUUGCCAAAAUAUUAUCAUACUUGUAAACUUCAAGUUCAUUUGGAAGAGGAAUGCAGAAGCAUACAUCCAGAACUAAAGCAGGAGGUAAAAUUUGAACAGUAGAGAGAUAGAAAGAAAAAAAGAUGGCUUAUCUGAUAUUCCACUUUAGAAGAGAUUCAUAAAUGGUAAAUUGGUGAUUGCAAAAUGAAAUCCUACUAGUAGAAUAUUGAUGGAAAAGGGCACAACUAAACUAAUAAAUGGUUCUAAUGAAAAGAUACAGUCUGUAAAAAAAGGGAUUAUGUCAAAAACUCUUUUUGAUGCUUUACAGCAUGAUGAUAAUGCAAUAGUAAUAGAAAAGGGGGAUGUGCAGUUAUCCAAUAGUAGUAAUAAGAAGGGGGAUAAUGUUAUCAAUGUUGAUUCUACAAGUUUAUACAUUAUGCAGCUUCAACCAAAAGAACCCCAUGAUUUCAUACUAAAGACUAAGAAUCAAGGCAACAUUACUAAAGGUAGAAAUCAAUGUAAUAUUAUCCACUCACUGGAUAACUCAAAAGCUAGAAGCAUUAUUCAGACAAAUAGCUCAAUCAAUAUAGAUGAUAGUAGAGUAGAUGAGAAUAGAAAAGAAGCAAUAAAAAAUUCUAAUCGAAAUCAGGUUGGGGAGGGUUCUAAGCAAAAUUUUGUAGGAAUACUUGCACAACAUAAUGAAAUCUUUGAGAGGGAGAUGGUCACUGUAGUGAAUUCAAAUAUAGAAAAAUACUUAGCAUGUGCUACCUAUCAUACUUCUUUGCAGAUAGAUGCAUCAGAUGUAAGGAUGCGUUGUUUGGAAGGUAUUGAAAAUAAAAGUAGUCCUAGUUCAACAUAUCAGCAAAAGGAAUUAAUAAUAUUUAACUGUGAAUUUGUAGUAGUAGAAAUAUGCAUAUAAUUAGAUCCUAUUAAAUCCCUUCAUAAUCUAUUUUCUCAUUAGUUUAAGAAGGAAAUAUAGAAGGAUAAGGAACAUAAAGUGAGUACAAAAAUUGAAGAUAAAGUGGAAGUAGAAAAUUAUCAAAGUGUUGUACAAGUGAUGUUGGAAGCUGAUUUGUCUUCACAAACAAUGAAUAAGGUUAGAAAAGGUAAAAGCAAGGUAGAAAAUAUUCCAACAAGGACAAAUCCUAAGAUGAGUGUGAAAUCUAGUAAGAAAUAUUGUUGAAAACACUAUUUUGGAAUGUCAGAUCUUUAAGAACUCAAAAUUCAUUACACAGAAUACAGAUGUUUCAUAGAUUUCAUAAAUUCUCCAUUGUUGCAUUAAUGAAACCUUUUCAAGAUAGAAGACAAAUUUACAAAUAUAAGAAGAGAUUGGGAAUGAACUAUGCCAAUUACAAUUGUAAUGGUAAAAUUUAGGUGUUAAUUCAAGAUCAUAGGCAGGUCAAUGUAAUGAAGAUUCAUAGCAACAACUAACAUUAAAGCUUUAGUUUCUUGAAACUGAUCAGAUUAUGGUUAUAACUGUUAUGUAUGCUAAGUGUAAUACUAAAGAGAGAUUGAAACUAUGGUAUGAUAUAUACUCUCUUAGUAAUAAUAUGUGUCUACCUUGGUUAGUAGGUAGUGGCUUUAAUUUCAUAUUAAGUGAUGAAGAAAAGAUUAGUGGGCUACCUGUAUAUCCUCAAGAAUUUAAAGAUUUUGCUUUUUGUAUUAAUUCCUGUGAACUGUUUGAUAUCAAUUUUAAAGGGAAUCCUUUUACAUGGUGGAAUGGAAGAGAUGACCAUAAAUUUAUUUUUAAAAGACUUGAUAGAAUGUUUAUGAAUCAAGCUUUUCUAGGUUUGCAUGGACAAGUUGCAGUGGAACAUCUGGCCAGAACUGGAUCUGAUCAUGCACCUUUGUUGCUGACCUGUGGUGAAUAUUCCAAAACUGUUAGAAAAUCUUUCAGGUUUCUUAAGUUCUGGGUGGACAUGAGGAGUUUCAAAAUAUUGUACUGGAUAAUUGGGUGUCUGAUGAAGAUUUUGAUAUUCUUAUUAGUCUGAAGUAGAAGAUUAAAAGAACAAAAUCAUCAUUAUUUAUGUAGAGAAAGGAGAAAUUUAGAGGUAUUUUUGAAUUAAUUAUGAUCAGAGAAGAAAUUGUGAGUAUAAAAGAAUCUUUAUUUGAAGAUGAUCCAUUAUUUGAAAACAUAUGUCUUUUACAGAGGGUACAGGCUGGAUUGAAGCAAUAUUUAAAAUAUGAAGAAGAGUUUUGGCGACAGAAGGCUGGGAUUCAAUGGUUUAUAGAGGGAGGGAAAUACUAGAUUUUUUCAUAAUUUAGUAAAAAGGAAAAUAAAGAGACUAUCUAUUAGUAGAAUUCAAAAUGGUAAUGGUGACUGGAUAGAAGGGGCUGAGUAAGUGGCAGAUGAGGCAGUAUCUUUCUUUCAAAAUCAGUUCACAGAAGUAGGAGUUAGUACCAACUUUUCCUGGAUUAACCACAUUCCUACAAUUAUUUUUUAUGAGGAGAAUUCAGUGAUUAAUGGUAAAACAUCUAUAGAUGAGGUAAAAAAAGCAGUUUUUGAGCUUAAUGGGGAUAGUACAAGUGGUCUAAACACCCCGCACUUUUGGGCUAAAGUUGAACUGUAUUUUCUACAUUUGUAGACCCAAACUCAGAUGAUUUCUACUUAUAUAUGAGUGUGAAUAACACUUCAUUACUAUUGGAACAUCCUUGGAGAUGGAUAUGCACCAUAAAAAUCUCCUAGCUUAAAAGUUAAGUUGAGCACUUUCCUAUCGAUUGACUUUUAGUUGACGAUUUUGCAUAGGUAAAAUUCUAGAGAACAUUUAUCCUAGUAUAUAAAGAUCCAUGUGGCCUACUAUAUAUCCAAUUAAAGCUCUUUGAUUCUUCUUUCUAAUGUCACCGAGCGUUCGUCAAUUUGAGUUCGAAGUCAAAAGUUAUGAAUGUAUGAAUGAGGCACUGUCUAGGGUGUGCAAUGGCCAUGCUCCACACACCAAUCGCAAAAGUACACUGCCUCAGCUAUGCUUUGUCCAUGAGAUGCACACCCUAAGGUAUGUGAUGACCAUAUGAUGUAAAGCCAUUCUAGGGCAUCAAAAAGUGUUUCAUUUGAUUUAUUUUAAGGGAAUAAAGGUCUUUUACCAUCCCAUAACCAUUCCUAACCCUCUUUGGAUGAAAUUAAGGCAUAUUAUAUGUUAUAUUGCCUCUAUAAAAUCCCUAGUCAGCUCUCCAUUAGCAAGAAAGGAUAAACCACCUAAGGUUUGAAGAUUUUGAUCUCCAAGGGUAAAUCUAUCUACGCUCUCUUUGAUUUUUCUCCAUCAAAAGGUAUGUGGGGCUAUCCUAAAUCUCAUUGGCAUGGGUUUUACGAUUUUAAAAAGCUUAAAAGUUAUAUAUGUAUAUAUACGUAUAUAUAUAUAUAUAUGUAUAUAUAUAUAUAUAUGUAUAUAUAUGUAUAUAUAUGUAAUGAGUUUUGAGAAAUUGUUUUAAGAGCAUACAUUAUGGACCCAAUUCGAUGAAAGUAUGUAUUUGUCAUGGGUUUUUUUUUCAUAAGAUUGAUUUAUAAUCUCGUACAUAUGUGAUUUGAGUUCAAAAAGUGAUUUAUGAAUGUGACUUGUGAAAUUUCCUUCCCCAUGAUGAAAUUUAUGGUCUUUGUAUGGCAUGAAUUGUGAAUUAUUUUGAGAGCACGAAUUAAAAGUCCUUUUUUGAUCAUGAGAUUAGUGUAUAACCAAUGUUGGAGCUGGUUUAUGAAUGAUGACAAAUCUUGAAUUUUAAAUUCCUCUUGAACCACUAUUCAUUAUUAUUUUCAUGCGUUUAAGAGGAGUAUUUCUUAUGUUAAAGGCUCUUAUGUCUUAACAGAAAAAAAUGCAUGUGUUGAAUAAAUGCAUUGACACCAUAUGUUAAAGAUUUGUAAAGAGAGUAUGUGCAUGAGUUUACAUAUGCUUUUGAAAAUAAGAACUCUCGUGUGAUUUGAUAAAAUCUUUUGGCGGCCAUUUGUAUAUUUUUGAAUGAGAAGCUAGUCAAUUCUUUCAAAGCUGCUGGAAUAUAGUUGGGAAUGAUGUUUUAAAGAUAGUUUUUGCUUUUUUUUUAUGAACAUACUUUACCUAAGUCUAUUACACAUACUAAUUUGGUCCUAUUACCAAAAAAGGAUAUGGUUUAAUCAUUUUUAGAUAUGAGACCAAUUAGUAUGAGUAAUUUUCUUAAUAAGGUCAUAUCUAGAAUUUUUCAUAAUAGAUUGGAGUGAUUUCUUCCCUUUUUAAUUUCAAUAAACCAAUCUGGGUUUGUAAAAGAAAUAAUAAUAAUUAAGAAUGUGCUUCUAGCUCAAGAAAUUAUUACUGAUAUUAGUAAUAGGGGGAAGCUGACUAAUUUAGUUAUUAUACUAGAUAUGGUAAAGGCUUAUGAAAGAGUAAAUUAGAAGUUCUUGUGCUUUUCCUGCAGAAAAUAGGUUUUGAUGAUAGAGUGAGAGAUAGAAUUUCAGGAUUGGUGGCUAAUAAUUGGUAUUCAAUUCUUCUUAAUGGCCAAGCUUUCAGAUUUUUUCAUUCUACUAGAGGUGUAAAACAAGGUAACCCUUUAUCUUUAGCCUUAUUCAUCCUUGCAGCUCACAUAUUAUCUAAAGUUUAGAAUUCUCUGUUUACUAAUGAAAACUUUAAAGUUUAUGGUAUGCCUAAAUGGAGUAAUGAGAUUAAUCUUCUUGCUUAUGCUAAUGACACAAUCAUUUUUGUGUCUGUUGAUGCUGCUUCUCUGUAAUUACCAAUGAAUAUUAUACAGGAGUAUGAAGUACAACCAGGACAACUAAUUAACAGGUAAAGAGCUCAUUUUAUGAUUACCAUAAAAUUGCUUAAGUGUUGAUCAAACAGGUGGAGGAUAUCACAGGAUUCAAAAAAGGUAGUUCCCCUUUAAUAUACUCGGGUUGUCUAAUUGGACAUACAAGAAAAAGGAAAAUUCACUUUACAGAGUUAUUGAAGAAAGUGCAGAAAAAAUUACAAGUUUGGAAAGGUAAGCUUCUUUCAUUUGGGGGAAAGCAGUACUCAUAAAUAAUGUUUUAUGCAGUAUUCCCAUCUAUCUAUAACCCUUCAUUAUUCCUCCCAAGUGUGUGAUUCAUUUUUUUGCAUAGGAUUUUUGCUAAAUUCCUGUGGAACUUUAAAGAUAAGGGUAGAAACAAACAUUGGGUAGCAUGGGAGGAUGUUUGCAAACCCAAGGAAGAAGGUGGAUUAAGUUUUAGAUCUCUUUUUUAUAUGUCUAAAGCAAUGUUUGCUAAAUUGUGAUGGAUUUUUAGAACCCAAAAAUUAUUGUGGACAAAUUUUAUGUGGAAUAAAUAUUGUAAAAAAAUUUGUCCUCAAUUUAUAGAGUGGAAAGAUGGUACAUUGAUUUGGAAAUUAUCACGACCCGAACCGAGGCCCUGUCUGCAACGGGCAUCCCGAACUAUGAAGGCCAAAGAGACCCCUUAGCAUGUAAUCAUAAGCAUAAAUCAUAUGGUUUAAAAGUGCAGAAGAUAAACUAAAAACAUGAUAGUCCCAAACCAAACUUAAAAUUUCAUAACAUCAAACCAUAAGAAAAACCCAAGCCCAAUCUAACACACUCUACAAAGCCUCUACUGAACUAAGCAUGCUAGUCUAUCUAAGAUGCGACAAGUCCCCCGACUGGACCAUAAAAUUAAAAAAAUGACACAUAAAAGAUAUGCCUUCCAAAGCAAGGGAGGCUCACCAACUCUGAAUAUCUAAAAAUAAUAGUUGAUAGGACCACAGAAUUGUGCCUCAGAACCUAAAAUAUAGAGGGUCCAUACUCGAAAGUACUGGUAUGUAGAACAAUCCAAAGAAAAUAGCACAUACUUCAUGAAAAAUAAGUGAUAGAAUUUUGGAAACAAUUUAUCAUAAUAUAUGUAUAUAUUAAAAGCACGUGGGCAUAAUAUGAAGGCUUCAAAACAUUCUUGUAAACCAUGGACUCAACUCUUUACUUUUGUUUUGAGCUAGAUGGUACAACCUACAAUUUUGUAAUUCCAUGGGCUAUAUGGAAUCUUUCCUUGACUUGGCGGCCAAGCCCCUAAUCCAAGUUUGCUGCAAGGGAUGGAGUAUCAGUAAGGGAGACAAGCAAGAUUACAAAUCAGGGUGCCAUAAUCCCCAAUCAAAUCAACAUGCCAUGGUAGUGUACAAGAUCAUAAAGCAGGGCUUCUAACCAUAGUCCCAAAUUGGGAAAACAUGAAUCAAGGUACACAAGAUCACAAAGUAGGGUACCAUAAUCCCGUAUCGGCAAACCACAUUUCCAUCAUUGAGUCUCUCAACUCGUGCUUUCUUUGGGUAACCAUCUAACUCUUUUUAAGCCCAAUUUUAGUCUCUUAAAAACAUACUUCAUGCUUAUAAACAAAUCUUUCUCAUUCUAUUAAGGGCAUAUCAUAACAGGGUAUUGUCAUACUCAAACUUGCAAGUCAUUCAUUCCAUACCACAUAAUAUGGGAUAUCCCUUUUAUUCAAUAACAUAUUAAUGAACACCCAAAAUUAAGGCAUCACAUAAGGGAGUUUUUAUUUCUAAACACAUGAAAAAUUAUGCAAACUACUCUAUUUUCAAUACUUUAUCAAAUGGUGGUCAUCCCUUUCAUCAAUCACAUGCAAAUUCCUUAUUCGAAAACAUAAGCAUUUGUAAAUCAAGGAAAAACCCCUCUCAUUCGUUCAUAAAAUAAUAACAAUACAUAAACAUUAGCAAAAUGUUUAAACUUAAGCUUUUAACCAUCUGUGUAAACAAUCCAAAAUAUUUUUAAGACAAUGGGUUUCAUAACAAGAGAGGUAAUCACAUAAAUCAUGCUCUCUAAUAAAUUUUCAAACUAAUAACACAUGUACACAUGAAAAUAAUUAAAGUUUAGGGAAACAACCUCAUAGUUUAUACAAGAUUUCAUCAUAAAAUGGGGUUUACAAUGCAUGCUCUUCAACAAUUUCAAAACUCAUCAUAUGUACGAAAUUAUAUACCUUAAAAACUUGUUCAAUCGAUAAAUUUAUGCCCAAAGAGUUUAGGAUAGUCCCACAUACCUUAAGCUUCUUGAUUUAUGAAGAAAGCUUGAAUCUUUGGGGACUUGAAUCCUUGUGAUAUUGAGAGAAGAAGCUUGGAUUAUUAUUCUUGGGAAAGAAGAGGGUUUUUAAGUGAGUUUUUUUAGGAAUAUGGGUAGUUAAUGCCCUUUUUAGUGUUAUAAUCCGUGCUUUGGAUGUUUGGGGUUGAGGGGAAAGGACCAAAGUACCCUUUGACCCUUAAGAAGCUGAAAUAGUUAGGGGAUAGACCCCUAUUCUCUACCUAUAGUCUGUUGGAGUAGCCCCAAUGAUACAGGUCUCAGUCUGGGGGAAUAACCCCCGUUGCGCAGGCCUAUUGCCUGCCCUUACUGCCUCUCACGAAAAAAAGCCAUAACUUUUUGCUCGAGUAUCAUAUUAGGGAAAAAUUGGUAUUGUUGGAAAUCUAUCUCAAUUAUGUAUAUUUUUAUGGGUCAUGAGAUGUAUAAUUCCAUACAUAUCAAAAUUUAUAUCCAUUCAAAGUUGACCCUUGUAGAAUCGAAUAUCAAACUUCGAACAAAUCAAAGGGUCUUAGCUCAACUUUGUUCUAAGUGAUUCCUAUGAAUAUUUUUCACCUAAUAAGAAAUUAAAACACUAGUAUAAAUAUAAUAACACAUGUAUUCAAAUAUAAAUCGUGGGAUUAGAUUUUACACGCCUAGGAAUGAUGGUUUGAUGUCUAGCCCAAAAAUAUGAGGUGUUACAGAAAUAUAUGUUGGAAGCAAGAGAUAACUUUGACCAAUAGAUUUGGUGGGAACCUAAAAAUGGUCAUUCAAGUAUCUGGUAUGAUGAUUGGAAUCAAUUAGGAGCUCUUUAUUAUUAUUUACCUAUUUCUAAUGCUUCUAAUGUUCUAAUAAUUUUUAUGAAGAUGUUAGCCAAUUGUUUAGUAAUGGGAAGUGGAAUAUUGAGUUAAUGCAUCAAUUUUUCCCUGAAGAUGUAUGUCAACACAUAAUUAGUAAUGUGAAUUGUGAGAAAGAACCAGAAACAUGGGACAAGACUUAGUGGAUGUUGCAUAGCACUGGAAAAUUUUCAGUUAGAUCAGCCUGGGAAUAUAUUAGACAGAAAGGUAUUAUUUCUAAAACUUUAAGGAGUAUAUGGUUAAAGGGUGUGCCUUUUAAAAUAUCUUUCUUGAUAUGGGGGUUAUGGAAGAAAAGGUUGCCCAUUGGAGAAGUUAUAUCUAAUUGGGGGGCAAUUGAUAAUAUGAAUUGUUACUGCUGUGAAGGUGAUGUGGUUGAAUCUUGUGAAUAUUUAUUCAUGGAAUGUUCAGAUUCUAAAUAAUCGUGGAGAAAUUUCGAUGUAGGUACAAGUAUUAAAAGACCUUUUCUACAAAUUAAAUAUAUUAUUUACAAGUGGUGGAGAACUAUUACUGUUCCUAAAUUAAAAUCAGUUCUUAAAGAUGUUCCUUUGAUUGUCAUAUGGAAAAUUUAGAAGAGAAGGAAUAUGGUAAAAUAUGUCUCUACACAUCAUAAAACUGGUGAUUAAUAGAAAUUUAUUCUAUAAGGUGCAAUGUAUUUAUCCUUGGCUGUCUAACAUUCCACACUCAUGGAUUGAUAUUGUACAAUUUCUAAAGGAAUAUUUUCCAAAAAUAGAUUGUAAAGUUGUGACCUGAAAAGUCCUUAGUAUUGGUAUGUUUAAAUGUAACUCAGAUAGGGCAUCAAGGGGCAAUCCAAAUCCCAUUUUUGGUGCAUAUUGUAUGAGAAAUAAGAAUGGAGAUCUUAUUUUUGUAGAAGGGAUAAGAUUAAAGGAGGGAUAUAACUGUAAUACAGAGGUUGUUGCAUUCAGAAUGGGACUGGAAUACUGUGUUUAGCAUCAAUAUGUCCCAUUAAUUAUGGAAACUGAUUCAUUGAUGAUUAAAAACAUUAUUGAUGGGGAAUAAAAUAUUUCAUGGAUUAUUGUGGUGGAAAUUGAAAAGAUCAAGGCAUUGAUGCAAAACAUAUGUGUUCAAGUAGUGCACACACUAUAGAGAGGCAAACAAAAUGGCAGAUUUUAUUGCUGACCAUGUUUUCUCUUUUGUAGAUAUGGACAACAUUCAGUAGUCUAAUUUCCAAGAACUACCAAAAGAAGCAAAAGCCAUUUUCUUAAUGGAUAGGAGUCAAACAACUAAUCUACGAAAAGAAAAUUUCAAAAUAGUCAAUUUAUUGUCAGAGAAAGGAUUAUGCAGCUGGUAUAGGAGAUUCAAUACUUAAAGAGUAUAUCUAAAAUAAAACUUAUGAAUACAUUAUUUGGGAAUAAUAAAUUAAUACAAUGGAGAGUCAAUCGAGCUAUACCUAUUACAUGCAAUUUCAAUAGAAAAAAAUUAGUCCUCAUAACAUUAAAAGUUGUCACUAACAUCAAGAUGGUCCUAACCAAAGGAUAAAACUUGGAUAUGAAGCAUCUUGGUUAGGUGAUGAUGGAUCUAAAAUGUUCAAUUGCUUAGACAGUGGAAUUACCUUUUUUGGAGCUCAAUCUGUCAAGGAAGAGAAGAUUUGGGGAAAUCAUUUACUUAAUUGGAUGACUACAUAAAUAAAAUAGGUAGAUAUACUUAUCUUAAGCGAGAUUGACAGGAUCCGUUGAAAUAAGAGCUAAAGAAGUCUUCUUCUUGAUUGAUUUAUGGUAUUUGUAAGACUUGAAAAUGCCCGACAUAAACACAAUCAAGACUCUACUUUUCUUAUGAUGUUGUCACGCGAAUGGAUAUAAGAUUAUCUUCUUAAUCUUUGGUGGCCAUGAUUGAAAGAUUGAAGAGUAAAGAACAUAGGCAAUUGAAGAAGAUUCUAGUAUUGUGUAGUUGUUUUUUUCUUUUCUCUUUAUUUCUUAUUUGGGUCAUUAUCGGUUUAAGGUUUCCAAGACUUGAUAAUGGGCUUUUAUUGUACUAUUUGGAUUUAUUUUAUUUUGAAUCAAUAAAAUGGCUUAACAACCUACUUAAUUUUUUAAAAAAUAUGUUUGAAAGAAAAAUUUGGAUGUCUAAUUGAUCAAUUAAAUGGUCAAUCUGUCAAAGACUUUAUUUUCUUUUUAAUAUUCUGUAGUUUUACA
Molecule: long non-coding RNA, 41686 nt
Filed under: Capsicum annuum
Lineage: Eukaryota; Viridiplantae; Streptophyta; Magnoliopsida; Solanales; Solanaceae
Description: long non-coding RNA (CANN_LNC017735)
Source: RNAcentral